Long non-coding RNA from Mauremys reevesii (Reeves's turtle), 1228 nucleotides. RefSeq lists it as uncharacterized. Lineage: Eukaryota; Metazoa; Chordata; Testudines; Geoemydidae. The record is from RefSeq and is a predicted model, not a curated record. The transcript has 3 exons.
UCUAUUGACAACUCAAUCAGGGACAGUUCCUCAGAUUUGUCACCUGAAAAGAAUGGCUCAGGGAAGGUAACUGAUGCAAAGUAUGACUGAAUUUGAAACACCUCUGCUCUGGCUGACACAAGAAGUAGCAUUAAGGGUCUUCAGAGGCAGAAGUGUCCCACCUGAGGAGCAGGGGCAAAUUCUUCCCUGAGAUGGAUGUAUAAUGUUCCCACUUACUUCAGUUGAAAAUUUAUUCAAGGAGGCCUGAUUUUGAAAGGGAUCUCAAAGAUGACCUGCACAAGGGGAAAAAAAUGGAACUUGUGCCAUUCUUUGCUUCUUUAUGACAUAGAAGAAAAAGUCUGAAAGCUUCUCCCCCUCCAUUCCCCACCAAUACACCAACACAAAAAGAGCCAAGAGGAAGGAUUCUGCUUGUUUUUUACCCUUAAAGAUCGCAUGGUUGCCUGGAGAACUUCUAGAAUUAUUACAUCAUAAGAGGCAAAGAAGUGAAACUUGGUUGAAGGAGGAAGUAAUUUUUAUUCCAACCGUUUCAAAUUAUUUGUUUGUGUUAAUACUUAUUUAAUUAAAAGUUUGGUAGAAAAACUCUCAUUGUCGUAUCAUCGUCAUCUCAACUGAGGACUGAAAAAGCUCCAAAAAUACUUUGCAUCAUCCAAGAAGCCAUCCAACAAUAAAAGGAAAAACAUGGCUUUACAUUCCUAAUAUUUUUAAAUAAAACAAACACAAAUAAUUGUGGACCCAAAUGGUGGGAUGAAACUGUCUAACUAUCACAUAUAAUGUAUACAUUUUUGUUCAUAUGUAAUAGCACCCACAACUUCAGGCUUUCAAGACUCAAUCAGGAAUCUGCUUUUUAGUCCUCUUCUUCCACAUAAAGGAAAUCACAAAGGGCCUGACUUCAAUGCUGUCUAAAUCCAUUUUGACAUUCAAUACACCAUUCAUUAUACACUAAUUCUGUUAGACUUUUACCCUUUGCAUGUAGUUACAGAUUUCACAACACACUAUAUUUCUUAUCUUAGAUCUCUAUUGCCAAAGCCUAUUUUUGUAACAAAGCAAUCCUAGUAACAUGCACUAUUUGUUUUUCUUAUUUUUAUCAACUUCUAUAAACAAUAUGUGAACUGCAUAUGGUGUGAAAUGGAUGCUUUCAAUUUACUAAAUAAGCAUCCACUGCUACUUAUUAUUUUGAUUAAUGAGGUACAACAAAAAAGAGAGAGAACAACAUAGAAGAAUAAGUAAU